AACGAACGCUGGCGGCAUGCCUAACACAUGCAAGUCGAACGAGACCUCCGGGCCUAGUUGCGCUCGGGUGCGUAACGCGUGGGAACCGGCCCUUAGGUUCCGAAUACUUCCCCUUAAGGGGUGCUAAUGCCGGGUAAUGUACUCGGACACAAGAUUUAUCGCCUUUGUAUGAGCCGGGGUUGAUUUCGCCAGUUGGGAGUGUAAGAGCCUAUUAGGGGGUCGAUCCUUAGCUGGUCGGAGAGGAUGGUAAGCCACACUGGAAGUGUGACACGGUCCAGAGACCUACGGGAGGCAGCAGAGGGGAAGAUGGGACAAUGGGCGCAAGCCUGAUCCAGGGAUACCGCGUGGGUGAAGAAGGCCGUCGGGGUGGAAAGCCCGUUUGUUGGGAAAGAAAAGCAGCAGGGUAAUACCCCGCUGUUCUGACGGUAGCCAAAGAAUAAGCACCGGCUAAAUUCGUG
Molecule: ribosomal RNA, 458 nt
Filed under: uncultured bacterium
Lineage: Bacteria
Description: partial 16S ribosomal RNA
Rfam family: Bacterial small subunit ribosomal RNA
Source: RNAcentral